GAAAUGUCUGGUUUGUGGUCAUUCGUAUAAUUGUCAUCAUUACACUGGUGGUUCCAUUGUUGCUUAUAACAAAAAUUGUCAUCAAGGAAAAAAACAAAGGUUGAAUCUCAACACAACAAGACACAACAGAAUGCAGAACCUGAGGGACUUUAUCAAACACUCCAGCCAACGACUGAGGAGCAAGUCUACAGCAGCCUCACAGUGAUGGAGCAGAACUCCUCACAGCCGUCACCACAUCCACUCACUCUCUAACUGCUGAAGUCUCACUCUAUGUGUUAAGUUGAUGAUCUGAUGAACGGAAAUGAUGAAUGCAGUGAUUUUGUUUGUUUCUAAUUUUUCUAUUGUGCAAUAUUAUGCUACAGUACAUGUAGACAAAAUCUAUUUAAUGGUUACAUUGUCAGUAAUCAUUACAGGGUAACAAGGUUAACAAAAAAUUUAGAAAGUUACUUCUUCCAUUUUAGGAUGAGGAAGAGCUUUUUUUAUAUUAUAUUUUAAUUUAUAACAACCUCAACUCAAAAUCAGCCACUUUUUGCUUUUUGUUCAAAUUAAGAAUAAAAUGGUUUUCGGCUUUCAUGUGUGGUUGUACACAUUUUCUACAAUAUUUACUAUUGUGUGUCCUUACUACUGUAGACUGGCUGGUUAUAUGUUGGGUGUCCAUGUUGGGUAACAGGUAGGAUUAGGCCUGUAGGGAUGCAGUGUUUUAAGGAGCGGUGUCCUCACACAGAAGGACACAGCUGGUGUGUCUGUGAGUCAGAGGGAGGAGUUUUGACCUAAUCGAGGGUAAAGAGGAAAAGGAAGUUAUCCUCUGCAGAGACAGUCGUGAACUCAGCCUCAUUCCUUUUUACUAGUGUUUGUGAGCGUUGUCAGUUUCACAAUGAUGAAAGUCUGUGUGUGGACCGUGUGUCUGUUUACUGCUCUGACUGUCGGGGUGAAGAGUCUCAGACAAACAGGAUACGUUGGGCAAAAUGUAACAUUCCAGUGCUCAGACUGGGAGGGUUACACUUGGAGUGAUGUAACAUCUUACGUUAAGUACAUUAGUACAGAGAACAAGCAUGAGAUCAUGAGAGUAAAACCUGGAGACAUUAAUCAAAAGGACAGAAUAUCUUUAUACAACAAUGGAGGAACUUUGUCUGUGACCUUCACUGAUGUCCAGAAGUCAGACUCUGGGACUUAUUACUGUGGACUGGAUAGGUGGGGACAUGACAUAUAUAUACAGGUGAUCCUUCACGUUAUAGAUGCAGUGACUCCUGGUCCACAGACAACAGUUAGAACAGUCAGUGUGUGGUCAAGCUCCACUGUGUUUUCAAACAGCAAAAAUAUUACUUCAGAUAUUUCACCAUUGUUCACCACACGUCAGUCAACAGCAGCUGCUGCAUCAGAAGCACAUGGCGAUGAAGGGAAUGGAACAGGAAGUGUCCUGUACUUGAUCAUUGGUUUCACUGUUGUAAUAACUACACUGGUUCUUCUAUUGUGUCUAAUGAUGAAGAUAAAGAAAGAGAGAAAGAAAAAGGUGUCUAAGUCUGGUUCACCAGAAGCCGUCGUACAACAGGAUGCCGACUAUGCUGAAAUCAGACAUGAAGACCACACUGAGAGGGCGUCUGCUGCUGACGUUUACCCAGAGACGCUCUAUGCAAAUUAUUCCAGCCAACAGGACACAGCACAGCAGGACAGGGCUUCACACGAUGCUUCUGCUUCUAGUCCCCACGUCAGACACACAGAUUCCCAGUUUGAAUGUCUUUACUCUGUCGCUCAACUUCCUGAAGAGCGGCCUGAGUGUGAAUCUGCAAUAAAUGACUCAAGAUGCACCAUCUAUAGCGUAGUUAAGCCAGCACAGAUAACAUGAGGACUACUAAUACUACAGAUGAAAAGUGCUACACAAACCUCUGGCACAGUCACACAUGAAGUCUAAUAGUAGGAGGAGAGCAGCCAGCGCAUGCUAGCAAAGUGUUUUCAACAUGUUGCUGUGUUCAGGGGUUAACAAGUCAUUUCAGCUUUUAUUUGUUAUUAUAAUAUAUUAUAUUUGUACGUACGUAAUAAUAUAAAAUAAAUACAUGCUGCAUUUUAUGAACA
This is a long non-coding RNA of Betta splendens (Siamese fighting fish), 2070 nucleotides long. The record is from Ensembl. NCBI's taxonomy places the organism in Eukaryota, Metazoa, Chordata, Actinopteri, Anabantiformes, Osphronemidae.